RNAcentral lists this long non-coding RNA (322 nucleotides) under Pan troglodytes (chimpanzee). RNAcentral describes it as "long non-coding RNA NONPTRT003326". The record is from RNAcentral. Lineage: Eukaryota; Metazoa; Chordata; Mammalia; Primates; Hominidae.
GCUACACAGUGGGUGGUUUGGAGACCUUCGACAGCCUCACGGACCUGGUGGAGCAUUUCAAGAAGACGGGGAUUGAGGAGGCCUCAGGCGCCUUUGUCUACCUGCGGCAGCCGUACUACGCCACGAGGGUGAAUGCGGCUGACAUUGAGAACCGAGUAUUGGAACUGAACAAGAAGCAGGAGUCCGAGGAUACAGCCAAGGCUGGCUUCUGGGAGGAGUUUGAGAGUUUGCAGAAGCAGGAGGUGAAGAACUUGCACCAGCGUCUGGAAGGGCAGCGGCCAGAGAACAAGGGCAAGAACCGCUACAAGAACAUUCUCCCCUG